UGCCAGCAGCCGCGGUAAUAAGAAAGGUGCAAGCGUUGUUCGGAAUUACUGGGCGUAAAGAGCAUGUAGGCGGAUGAAUUAGUCAGAGGUGAAAGCCCCGAGCUCAACUUGGGAACUGCCUUUGAUACUGUUUAUCUAGAGUCCGAGAGAGGUUAGUGGAAUUCCCAGUGUAGAGGUGAAAUUCGGAGAUAUUGGGAAGAAAACCAGUGGCGAAGGCGGCGAACUGGCUCGGUACUGACGCUGAGAUGCAAAAGCUUGGGGAGCAAACAGGAUUAGAUC
Molecule: ribosomal RNA, 279 nt
Filed under: uncultured bacterium
Lineage: Bacteria
Description: partial 16S ribosomal RNA
Rfam family: Bacterial small subunit ribosomal RNA
Source: RNAcentral